UACGUAGGUGGCAAGCGUUAUCCGGAAUUAUUGGGCGUAAAGCGCGCGCAGGCGGUUUCUUAAGUCUGAUGUGAAAGCCCACGGCUCAACCGUGGAGGGUCAUUGGAAACUGGGGAACUUGAGUGCAGAAGAGAAAAGCGGAAUUCCACGUGUAGCGGUGAAAUGCGUAGAGAUGUGGAGGAACACCAGUGGCGAAGGCGGCUUUUUGGUCUGUAACUGACGCUGAGGCGCGAAAGCUAGGGGAGCGAACAGG
RNAcentral lists this ribosomal RNA (253 nucleotides) under uncultured bacterium. Its description in RNAcentral is "partial 16S ribosomal RNA". It matches the Rfam family "Bacterial small subunit ribosomal RNA", at positions 524 to 776 of the family's 1533-position model. The record is from RNAcentral.